AGGAAGUCAGAGAAUUAGAAAUGAGAAUAACAAAGUUCAUAAAAUAGGACAAUACAAUCCGAAUUUACAAAUGGAAUGAUUGUCCAAAAGCAAAGGUAGGGAUUAGAGGUACAAAAAAAUGGAAUUAUUGUUAGGAAUUGGGGAAAAGCCAGGAAAUAAGUUCUAGAGGGGAAAAUAAUAAUAAUAAUAAUAAUAAUAAUAAUAAUAAUAAUAAUGAAGAAAACAAACUAAAAAAGGAUAGUUCUUGCAAGCCUGAGCAGAAUUAUGUGAAAAUUUCUGAACCCUGCAGAGAUGCCUUGGAUAAGGCACCUUGUUGUAAUCUUCCAGACUAGCCCUGAAAUUAAACAGACAAAUGCUCUGAAGGUGUUGCUUGGACUUACAGAAAACAAAUUGCCAGACAUUUACAAUAUAUCUAUGCAUUCUUGUUGCCACAUUUUUUCAGAAAAAGAAAUUAUAUGAACAGAUUCUGUGCAUGGAUUUAAGUUAUUAUCAAUAUAAAGAAUACAGUAGUAUUCAUAUGUAAAAACUUGUUAUUACAUCAGAACUUGACACAAGUUUCUCAUUGCUUUGUCUUUGUUUUCAUGGAAGACAGAUGAGUAAUAAAAUCAAGUCUUUCAUUUACCUAUAGGUAACUCACGGAUGUUUGUCAAUGCAGGUUUAUCAAUAUACAGUCUGCACGGGUUUAAUACAUGACAAGGAGACAAGCAAUCUGUGGAGAAUGGCAGUGGAUGUGAUGCAGAUCAGCAAGAAAGAGAAAUUAAGGAUGAAAAGACAGCAGUUUCUGAAGAAUCAGCACACUUUGUAUUUAUAUAACGUACUUCCUCCCCCUGGUGACCUGGAGAUGAAUGAAUCUGGCCUAGAAGAUGGCAGAGGCCAUAUGAGGACAGCUGUAUUCACAAUCCCCACCUUCUGCCCAAGCAGUCUAUGGAGGUACUUAUCUCUAAAAACUUCAAAUAUAAUGACAUUAAAGAAGAUGCCCGUUUGAAAAUCUAGCCUUAGAAGAACAGCACAAAAGCUGUCAAUUUAUUCAGGAAUUCCUAACUUUUUUCUUAAAAAACACUUUCUAAGCAGAGAUGUGUUUCUUAAAGACUGUAAGAUGAAGACACAAUCAGAGAAGAAUUCUGAAAAGUGUCAGUAAGUCAAUCCAAUAUACAUCACUGUGAACCUGCAAUACAGACAAAAUUUUAAAAUUAACAAAAGGCCUGAACUGCAGCUGGGUAUAUUCAUGUAGGUCCCAAUCAUCAGCAUUUUGCAAGUGACAGAAGUAAAAAUGUCAGUGGAGACUUUAAGCUAAUCUCUACAGCAAAGAUUGUGAGAGAGAUCUAAAUAUUACUUAAAUAAGGCUUUUUCUUUUACAGGAAUGAAAGACAAAAUGAAACAUAAUUCAACAUAUAUCUUGCAAACUCCUACUCAUCUGUGAAAUAUUAAGCAUCAUCAUUUUUUUAAAUAAUAAUACAAAAAUCUUGUCACUUCAGUGCACAGGAAAGAUGAUGUUCUGAGGAUGAAAACCAGCUGUGUAUAGAAUGACCUUGAUGUUUGUAAAACCAUUUCCCUUUGUUAUAGAUCUUGAAAUAAAGUAGAGGUCUUAUGCUAAAGAAAGUAGAGC
Anser brachyrhynchus (Pink-footed goose) is the source of this 1606-nucleotide long non-coding RNA. The record is from Ensembl. Lineage: Eukaryota; Metazoa; Chordata; Aves; Anseriformes; Anatidae.